CGAGUCAUUGUAGUAAUACAAGGCAGACGGCUCAGUAACGCGUACUCACCUAACCUAUGGACGGGAAUAACCUCGGGAAACUGAGCAUAAUGCCCGAUAGAACAUUAUGCCUGGAAUGGUUUAUGUUCCAAAUGAUUUAUCGCCGUAGGAUGGGACUGCGGCCUAUCAGUUUGUUGGUGAGGUAAUGGCCCACCAAGACUAUUACAGGUACGGGCUCUGAGAGGAGUAGCCCGGAGAUGGGUACUGAGACACGGACCCAGGCCCUAUGGGGCGCAGCAGGCGAGAAAACUUUGCAAUGUGCGAAAGCACGACAAGGUUAAUCCGAGUGGUUUCUGCUAAAGGAACCUUUUGUCGGUCCUAGAAACACUGAUGAAUAAGGGGUGGGCUAGUUCUGGUGUCAGCCGCCGCGGUAAAACCAGCACCUCAAGUGGUCAGGAUGAUUAUUGGGCCUAAAGUAUCCGUAGCCGGCUUUGUUAGUUUUCGGUUAAAUCUGUACGCUCAACGUACAGACUG
Molecule: ribosomal RNA, 513 nt
Filed under: uncultured crenarchaeote
Lineage: Archaea; Thermoproteati; Thermoproteota
Description: bacterial SSU rRNA
Rfam family: Archaeal small subunit ribosomal RNA
Source: RNAcentral